Molecule: long non-coding RNA, 243 nt
Filed under: Panax ginseng (ginseng)
Lineage: Eukaryota; Viridiplantae; Streptophyta; Magnoliopsida; Apiales; Araliaceae
Description: long non-coding RNA (PGIN_LNC007937)
Source: RNAcentral
AACAAUCACGUUAGAGGAUGUUCACUUUAUUUUUGGGUUACCGGUGGUGGGAAAGCCCUUAACGGAUCCCCUUACUGUCACCAAUUUGAAUUAUUUUAGGGAUUGUUUUGGAGAUAAAUUAGCUGGUGAAUAUUUUAGUUUAAAAAAACGCAGUGCAAUUUCAUUAGUGUGGUUCCACGAACAUUUUAAUAAAUGUCCCGAGAAUACAAGUAAAGAUGUUGUAGAGUGACACACAAAGGCAUA